Molecule: long non-coding RNA, 2174 nt
Organism: Rhopalosiphum padi (bird cherry-oat aphid)
Lineage: Eukaryota; Metazoa; Arthropoda; Insecta; Hemiptera; Aphididae
Exons: 3
Source: RefSeq, a predicted model, not a curated record
GCCUAUGCGGCGAGAUCGUUCACCGCGGACCCGGCGACCGCACGUGCAGGCAAUUUUACGGUGCAAUAACCUGGUGCGGAUAACUAUAUAGGUAUCCGGCGACCGGCGCGCGACUGAACGAGCAUGGCUCGUGCAUCAGUGCAACCGCUGCAAUGCAACCGCGAUUGCAAGCCGCCUAAUACCUAAUACUGUGUGAUAUUAUGUCGAAAUAACGCAUAUUAUUAUUACUAUGUCUUACCGUCUCCGUUAUUCGUUCAUUAAUUAUUAUUCGGUUUUUUUUGUUUUGUUUUGUUUUGCCCUACAACAACUGCGCUGUAACGAUAUAAUAUUAUAUAAUAGGUAUAAUAAUAUACACUACGGCGGUAGGUAUAAUGCACAACAAUAAUAAUAUUAAUAAACGCGUAUGUAAUUGCAAAAAACUGGCGCGUCGACGGAUCUUUCGUGUUUUUGUUAGCUUUUCCGAGUCGGCGAUAUUAUGAUAAAUAAUAUAACCCGUUUUAACAUGUUUUUUUAAUAACGACAAAAAUAAAAAAGUCCGAGAGACUUACUACAGUGGUCGUGAGGACGACGGCGACAGCAGCGGCGACGGCUCUCAAUCGUUUCAAUUUAGAGAUACAUACUCAUUGCCUGCAUACAAACUUUUGUAAAAGUGGAUCCAUAUAUGUAAUAUCAGCGUCAUUUCGUUCGACAAAAGAAGUUGAAGAAUACAUAAUAAAGCUUGCACUUAAAAAUACAUAAUAUGGAGCUGUUCCAGUAUGAACUAUUAUGAAGAAGGUCGUAUUGAAGUUUCAAAGUUUGGCUAUAAAAAUUGAAGAUAUUUCAAAUUUUUUUACUACAAAAUAAUCGUUAGUUGUAAAUUUACGUGAUUUUGAUACAUUUUGUCAAAAUUUCAACUUAAAAUGUAUAUAAAAAAAUUGUACCUAUGUAUUUUUAAUAUUUCUAUACAGAUAUAAUAUGUACAACUUAACUACUUAAGAGAUACCUAUUAUUAAAUUGUAAAGCUUUUUUUUAUUAAGCUAAAAUAUUUUCAAUUGUCAUUAAAUAGGUCAAUAUAAGAGCUAAAUUAUUAAUCUUAUGAAAAUAUAAUAAUAUAUUCAUAGUGUUAACACUUGAAAUAAUAUUUCGAGUCUUUAAGUUUAUUUGUUUUUUUAAUUAUAUAAAAAAAAUAAUGAAAUAAUUUUUGUUAAAAAUUAGUUUAGCGUAAAAAUUCUCGAUUUUUCUUAAUUUUUUCUUUGUUUUCCUCAAUUAUUAAGAAAAUUACUGGAAAAUUUUUACUUGAAGCAUUUCUACUGCAUUACAGUACCUUAAAAGAGCACAUUACAUAUACAUAGAAAAAAACACGUUUCAUUUUAAAAUAAAUUUACACACCGCUUAGAAUCUAAAAUGAAUUAUUUACAAUUUUAAGUAAGUAGGAUUUGUCAGCCUUUAUUUUUAAGAAUAUUUUAUUAUUUUAAAAAUACUUUAAAUUUUGUACUAGUAUUAGUAAUUUUUCUUUUAAUAAUAUAUUUGUACCUUAUUACCAUUAUUUAAACCUUAUAUAUAGUAAUACAAAUAUUUUUUUUUUAUGAGUACCUAAAAAAUAAUUUGCAAGCUUUUGUAAAUUUCAUGAAUUUUGUACAAAUUAGCUUCAAACGUUCAUAGAAAAAUUUUAAUUGUGGAAUCUUUCAAGUUUUACAAUUAAUAUUCUUUGAAUAAUAAUCAUAAACAACAAAUAUCGAUUAAUACAAAUAAUAUAAUAGUCAUCGUAAUAUUAUACAUUUGAAUAUCCGAUGUACCUAGUAACAUUUUAACUUCGAUUCCUCAUAAAAAGUUACUAGGGACUCCAAUUUUUUUUAUUUCUAAUGAACUCCUUUUUUAACUUAAAAAUACUUUACGAUAGUACGAAAUUCAAAAAGCAUUGUAAUUGUUGCAAGAAUUACUCGUGGAACUUUUUAUUAAAUUAUCAAGUUUUUUGAUCCAACAUUCUAACAUAAACAAUUUUAAUUAAUAAUUAUAGAAAAAAAUUAAAAAUCAAAAAUGCCUAUAAAACAAGAUUAAAUAGGUAGUUAAAAAUAGGUUAGAUUUAAUAUAACUAAACGAAUAUCGAAUAAAUUGCUUGUAUAAACAAUUUACAUAUAUUAAAAUAAAUUGUGUAAUUUUCAAGUAUCUACGAUUAAACUUUAUUCUUUUAUGAA